CCAUGCGCAUGAAACCAAGAGAGUGAGAGAAGUCAGGCUGAAUUCAUUCCAAUGUUUUCAUAUCAUGUGUCUCACUCCUCAGCUUUGGUUUAGGGAAAAUCCGUCGUGGAAGAAUUCGCCACCGGCAGCGCGAAGAUCGAAACAUAAUCAAAGUAACAUCCAAACAUUGGUCCUUCUUCCCUCUCCCCUAAUCCCCUAUCAUUUUCCUAUGAUUCUAACCAAAUUCUCAAAUCGAUUGGAAAGUUAUCGGAACCCUAGCAGCUUAAAAUAACAAUUAAGUAAUAAUGGAGGAGAAUCUUCAAUGGCUGCAACACUGAGCUUUAGGUGAGGGUUUGGUGAGAGAGUCUGAUAGUGAGUAGGGGAGAUGAAGAUUUGAGCAAUGAUUGUGAAGAAUGGUGAAAUUAUGGUUUUGAGAUGUUUGUGGAUUGUGAUUGGUUCCCCCUGAAAUGAUGAAUGGCUUGGUGAAUUUAUAGUGAUUGAUUGUUAACACUGUUAGAUGUUGUUAAUUUGGCCUAGUGUAAGUUAGUUAGGAAAUGGAUUAUGUUAUCACAUUGUUAGAAAUUUCUGUUAAGGUUAGUUAAUAUUCAUUUUAGAGUUAGUGAAAUAGUUAGUUAUGCUUGGAUUCAGUUAGAGCUAAUUACUCUGUUAGUUGAAUGCUAAUUAUAGUUAGCUAAGUGUAAUUGGAUGUUAGUUGUAUUUGAUGUUAUUUUGAACUGGUAAUUGACUUGUUAACUGUGAUAGUUAGUUGAAAUUUUUUGUUAUGAAGUUAAGUGUUAGAAUGAGUUCUUGAACUGAAAUUAUUGACAUGGUACUGUUAUGAAAUUCAGAGAUGUUAGUUGUUUUGUUGGCUGCUAGUGAAUUUGUUAGCCUUACCAAGUCAUGACUCAUAUGGACCAAAUGAAUGAACUAAUGUAGAGCAGGGGCUUGCUUGGAAUGCUAAUUGAUCCAAGUUAGAAUUGUUAUGGUUAAUGUCUUAUACAAACUAUUAUUUAUGUGUAUGUGCACUAAGUUGUUGAUAUGUAAUUUUAAAUGCUUGGUUUGGUUUGGGAAUGAAAUGUAUGGCUUGUUAAGUUGUAGUUUGAAACAUCAUUAAGUUAUUGAAUGUGAAUUAUUGCAUGCCAUGGUUUGGACAAUUGCUUGAACUGUUUUGAAAUGGGCUUGAUUUGCUAAUGGUUGAAUAUUUGUGUAGGGUGGAAGGGUAAGGUUGAGCAAGGAUUGAAGACUUGGAGUUUUGGCAACAAAAUCAAGAGUUAUGAAGAACAAAACCAUGGAUAGCUUGGAAGUGAAGAAAGUUUUGUAACUAGGAUUAGGAUUAGUAGAGUUAACUUUGGUAAAAUGGUUGAUCAAAAAGUCAACAGUUGACCAAAGUCAAUUGUAGGUCCAAGUUGUGAUAUUUUUUGUGUAGGUAUUGAUUUGUGCAAUGUAAUUUGAUAUGAACCAUUGUAUGAAAAUGAACUUAUAACUUGAUCUUUAAAUAAAUUUUCCUCUAAUUUAUGACCUUAACCUUAUGUUAA
RNAcentral lists this long non-coding RNA (1514 nucleotides) under Lathyrus oleraceus (garden pea). Its description in RNAcentral is "Pisum sativum (pea) long non-coding RNA (PSAT_LNC000481)". The record is from RNAcentral. Lineage: Eukaryota; Viridiplantae; Streptophyta; Magnoliopsida; Fabales; Fabaceae.